Molecule: ribosomal RNA, 484 nt
Filed under: uncultured bacterium
Lineage: Bacteria
Description: partial 16S ribosomal RNA
Rfam family: Bacterial small subunit ribosomal RNA
Source: RNAcentral
AUUGAACGCUGGCGGCAGGCCUAACACAUGCAAGUCGAGCGGAUGAAGGGAGCUUGCUCCUGGAUUCAGCGGCGGACGGGUGAGUAAUGCCUAGGAAUCUGCCUGGUAGUGGGGGAUAACGUCCGGAAACGGGCGCUAAUACCGCAUACGUCCUGAGGUAGAAAGUGGGGGAUCUUCGGACCUCACGCUAUCAGAUGAGCCUAGGUCGGAUUAGCUAGUUGGUGGGGUAAAGGCCUACCAAGGCGACGAUCCGUAACUGGUCUGAGAGGAUGAUCAGUCACACUGGAACUGAGACACGGUCCAGACUCCUACGGGAGGCAGCAGUGGGGAAUAUUGGACAAUGGGCGAAAGCCUGAUCCAGCCAUGCCGCGUGUGUGAAGAAGGUCUUCGGAUUGUAAAGCACUUUAAGUUGGGAGGAAGGGAAGUAAGUUAAUACCUUGAUGUUUUGACGUUACCAACAGAAUAAGCACCGGCUAACUUCGUG